This 512-nucleotide ribosomal RNA is filed under the name uncultured bacterium. RNAcentral describes it as "bacterial SSU rRNA". It matches the Rfam family "Bacterial small subunit ribosomal RNA", at positions 33 to 507 of the family's 1533-position model. The record is from RNAcentral.
GACGACGCUGGCGGCGUGCCUAACACAUGCAAGUCGAACGGAGAUUAUUGAUGAAGCUUGCGAUUUAAUAAUCUUAGUGGCGGACGGGUGAGUAACGCGUGGGUAACCUGCCCAUAAGAGGGGGAUAACAGCUGGAAACGGCUGCUAAUACCGCAUACGCUUUCCGGGACACAAGUGCCGGAAAGGAAAGAUGGCCUCUACAUGUAAGCUAUCACUUAUGGAUGGACCCGCGUCUGAUUAGCUAGUUGGUGGGGUAGAAGCCUACCAAGGCGACGAUCAGUAGCCGGCCCGAGAGGGUGGACGGCCACACUGGGACUGAGACACGGCCCAGACUCCUACGGGAGGCAGCAGUGGGGAAUAUUGCGCAAUGGGGGAAACCCUGACGCAGCGACGCCGCGUGAGCGAAGAAGGCCUUCGGGUCGUAAAGCUCUGUUGUAAGGGACGAAUGUCGCGAUCAAUAAUACGGAUUGCGAAUGACGGUACCUUACCAGCAAGCCCCGGCUAACUACGUG